This is a non-coding RNA of Rattus norvegicus (Norway rat), 63 nucleotides long. The record is from Rfam. Lineage: Eukaryota; Metazoa; Chordata; Mammalia; Rodentia; Muridae.
GGGGAUUUAGCUAAGUGGUAGAGCACUUGCCUAGCAAGCGCAAGGCCCUGGGUUCAGUCCCCA